UUUUGACUGUGUAAAAACUUUUGGCAUAUGAGUUGUAUAUUUCAUGUAGUUAAACAGUAAUCUUUUCCUUUAUGGAUUCCAAUUUUUAAAUGGUUUAUAUUUUUAGCUAAAUUUUCAGGAGUGAAAAGAAAAAGAGGAAGGAAGAAAUCCCUCUCAGGCAAUCAUGUACAGCCACCUGAAACAAUGAAAUGUAAUACAUUCGUAAGACAAGUGAAAGAAGAGCAUGGCAGACACACAGGUUUGCACUAAGUGUUGUCUGUAACAAAUAUGGCCUACAAUACUUAUAAGAAUGUCAACCCACCUGUUUCAAACUUGGUAUCCCGCCUAAAUCUUUAUUCUUCUAGGCCUGUGGUAAUUAAUUAGUAUAAAUCUUUAUCAUAACUAUCCAUUGUAUUGUAAUCCCAGCAUAUCAAGAUAACUUAGGUUGGAAUGGUCCAUUGCCUUCAGUAUUAAGAAAAGAUAGACUUCUAUUAAUAAAGACACAGACAGGCUUGCCUGAGCUCAGAAUCCAGCAAUGUGUCACCCCUCACACUGUGACCCCUGUAACUGUAGUUCUCUGUUCUUUAAAGAAAUAGACAUUCCACUAACAACACAUACAAACUGUGACAAGAAGUGACAGGGACUGUUAUGUCAAAGACUUAAGGGUAAUUUUUUAAAAUCCUCUUAAUUCAACUACAUAUCGGGUACAGUGUACACUGCUCAGGUGACAGGUGCACCAACAUCUCAGAAAUCACCACUGAAGAACUUAUCCAUGUAACCUGAAACCACCUGUUCCCCAAAAGGUAUUGAAAUUUAAAAAAUUACAGUUUUAUAUGUUUAAAAAAGCCUCUUAAUUCAUAUAGUUAUUGUAAGCAGAGAAAUUUUCAUUUUUACUUUUUCUAAAAUUUUAUUCAUUGUUUCAGCUGGACAAAAAAAUGAGGUAUGAUGAAAUUAUAAUUAAUAGAAAGGGUGAAGGUGCUGUAUUAUUUUACUAAGUAUGCGCAUCCACCACUAGGCAAGGUCUGAAGAAAUAAGCAUAAAGUAAUUUAUGAUUAGCUGCCCUAAGACUAUUUCCUUCUUAAAUGUUUGUCUUAUUC
Molecule: small RNA, 1076 nt
Filed under: Pongo abelii (Sumatran orangutan)
Lineage: Eukaryota; Metazoa; Chordata; Mammalia; Primates; Hominidae
Description: processed transcript
Source: RNAcentral